This is a long non-coding RNA of Dendronephthya gigantea, 223 nucleotides long. RefSeq lists it as uncharacterized. The record is from RefSeq and is a predicted model, not a curated record. NCBI's taxonomy places the organism in Eukaryota, Metazoa, Cnidaria, Anthozoa, Malacalcyonacea, Nephtheidae. The transcript has 3 exons.
ACAAGAUCAAGUUCAGAGCAAAAGCUUGGGCCACGAUUCAGAAGACCGUCAAAAUGUUCCUCGCGUGGAAAUAACACCAGCAAAGUUUCAGGUUUAAAAACCGACAAGAAUGUUCUGACCAAACAGAUUUCUGAUAUCGAAAAAGAAAUAUCGGCUGCUAUACAGAAAAUCAAGAACACGAUAAUGAGCCGUGAUCAGAUCGAGAAUCUCCACCGUAUUCUUG